AUGAGGUUUGACACUUUGGAAGAUGCCAAGGAGCACUACAAUGCAUAUUCCUUGCAGAUGGGUUUUUCAAUCAAAAUGAAUACUUCAAGGAAGGAUAUGAAAAUCGGGGAGUUGAUAAAACAACAGUUUGUUUGCAACAAGUUUCGAAAGCCUGAUGUCGAUGACAGAGGGGCAGAAAAGAUUCCUGUGCUAGAUGAUACUGUUGAGCAAGUAAAAGAUGAUAAUGAAGAUGAGGCUAUUGUCUUUCUUGAUGAUGACAGUAAAGGCAAAAAGAGGAGCAAGAAACGAAAAAGAGAGAAAAUUGUGCAAACUGGUUGCAAAGCUAAGAUGAUUGUGAAGGUAAUAGAUGGCAGAUGGGAGGUGAUCUACUUUGUUGGCGAGCACAACCAUCCGUUGGUUGACAAGCCAUGUUUGACUAAGUAUUUGUGA
Molecule: ribosomal RNA, 429 nt
Filed under: Triticum aestivum (bread wheat)
Lineage: Eukaryota; Viridiplantae; Streptophyta; Magnoliopsida; Poales; Poaceae
Description: partial small subunit ribosomal RNA
Source: RNAcentral